UAAAAUAUCUCGCUAUGGAGGUCCGUGGGGGGCUUACCGGCCGUAAAAGCUUUCUCUCACGAGAAAAUUCUCAAGGUUGACCUCGGAUCAGGUAGGAAUACCCGCUGAACUUAAGCAUAUCAAUAAGCGGAGGAAAAGAAACCAACAGGGAUUGCCCCAGUAACGGCGAGUGAAGCGGCAACAGCUCAGAUUUGAAAUCUGGUCCCCAGGGCCCGAGUUGUAAUCUGUAGAGGAUGUUUCUGGCAAGGCGCCGUCCGAGUUCCCUGGAACGGGACGCCGGAGAGGGUGAGAGCCCCGUACAGGCGGACGCCGAGCCUCUGUGAAACUCCUUCGACGAGUCGAGUAGUUUGGGAAUGCUGCUCAAAGCGGGAGGUAAAUUUCUUCUAAAGCUAAAUAUAGGCCAGAGACCGAUAGCGCACAAGUAGAGUGAUCGAAAGAUGAAAAGCACUUUGAAAAGAGGGUUAAAAAGCACGUGAAAUUGUUGAAAGGGAAGCGCCUGUGACCAGACUCGCGCCCGGCGUAUCAUCCGGCGUUCUCGCCGGUGCACUACGCUGGGCUCGGGCCAGCAUCGGUUCUGGCGGGGGGAUAAAGGCGGCGGGGAUGUGGCUCCCCCGGGAGUG
This 620-nucleotide ribosomal RNA is filed under the name fungal endophyte. RNAcentral describes it as "eukaryotic LSU rRNA". The stretch from base 78 to 620 matches the Rfam family "Eukaryotic large subunit ribosomal RNA", at positions 1 to 553 of the family's 3401-position model. The record is from RNAcentral. Lineage: Eukaryota; Fungi.